UACGUAGGGUGCAAGCGUUGUCCGGAAUUAUUGGGCGUAAAGGGCGCGUAGGCGGCUUUGCAAGUGACGGGUGAAAGCCCUCGGCUUAACCGAGGAACUGCCUGUCAGACUGUAAGGCUUGAGACCGGGAGAGGUGAGUGGAAUUCCCAGUGUAGCGGUGAAAUGCGUAGAUAUUGGGAGGAACACCAGUGGCGAAGGCGGCUCACUGGACCGGAACUGACGCUGAGACGCGAAAGCGUGGGGAGCAAACAGG
Molecule: ribosomal RNA, 253 nt
Filed under: uncultured bacterium
Lineage: Bacteria
Description: partial 16S ribosomal RNA
Rfam family: Bacterial small subunit ribosomal RNA
Source: RNAcentral